Molecule: unclassified non-coding RNA, 341 nt
Filed under: soil metagenome
Description: partial contains 5.8S ribosomal RNA, internal transcribed spacer 2, and large subunit ribosomal RNA
Rfam family: 5.8S ribosomal RNA (bases 1-120)
Source: RNAcentral
GAUGAAGAACUCAGCGAAAUGCGAUAAGUAGUGUGAAUUGCAGAAUUCAGUGAAUCAUCGAAUCUUUGAACGCACAUUGCGCCCUUUGGUAUUCCAAAGGGCAUGCCUGUUCGAGCGUCAUUUGUACCCUCAAGCUUUGCUUGGUGUUGGGCGUCUUGUCUCUAGCUUUGCUGGAGACUCGCCUUAAAGUAAUUGGCAGCCGGCCUACUGGUUUCGGAGCGCAGCACAAGUCGCACUCUCUAUCAGCAAAGGUCUAGCAUCCAUUAAGCCUUUUUUUCAACUUUUGACCUCGGAUCAGGUAGGGAUACCCGCUGAACUUAAGCAUAUCAAUAAGCGGAGGA